AGAGUUUGAUUAUGGCUCAGGAUGAACGCUAGCUACAGGCUUAACACAUGCAAGUCGAGGGGCAUCGGGAAGAAAGCUUGCUUUCUUUGCUGGCGACCGGCGCACGGGUGAGUAACACGUAUCCAACCUGCCCUUUACUCGGGGAUAGCCUUUCGAAAGAAAGAUUAAUACCCGAUGGCAUAAUGAUUCCGCAUGGUUUCAUUAUUAAAGGAUUCCGGUAAAGGAUGGGGAUGCGUUCCAUUAGGUUGUUGGUGAGGUAACGGCUCACCAAGCCUUCGAUGGAUAGGGGUUCUGAGAGGAAGGUCCCCCACAUUGGAACUGAGACACGGUCCAA
RNAcentral lists this ribosomal RNA (334 nucleotides) under uncultured bacterium. RNAcentral describes it as "bacterial SSU rRNA". It matches the Rfam family "Bacterial small subunit ribosomal RNA", at positions 8 to 334 of the family's 1533-position model. The record is from RNAcentral.